AUCCUAUUUUAGGUUUCCCAUUAGCUGUACAGAUGGUGGGACUGCUUUUACGAGCAGUCUUAGGUAGAGCGGAUUCUAUGUAGCUUUUUUAGAGAAUUUUUCGAAUCUAAUUCCUUGGGGAUGAUGUUUUCUUCUGUACAUAGAUAAUUCUUUCGUACUAUAAUAUCGGAAAAACUUUCAUUUGCUUAUUGUCCACAACUUGAAUUUAAGAAAAAGUUUUCUCGAGUAAUUAUUUUGAUGAUUUUUG
Molecule: long non-coding RNA, 247 nt
Filed under: Olea europaea (common olive)
Lineage: Eukaryota; Viridiplantae; Streptophyta; Magnoliopsida; Lamiales; Oleaceae
Description: long non-coding RNA (OEUR_LNC007503)
Source: RNAcentral